CCUACGGGGGGCAGCAGUGGGGAAUAUUGCACAAUGGGGGAAACCCUGAUGCAGCGACGCCGCGUGAGUGAAGAAGUAAUUCGUUAUGUAAAGCUCUAUCAGCAGGGAAGAAAAUGACGGUACCUGAGUAAGAAGCCCCGGCUAACUACGUGCCAGCAGCCGCGGUAAUAAGUAGGGGGCAAGCGUUAUCCGGAUUUACUGGGUGUAAAGGGAGCGUAGACGGCAGUGCAAGUCUGUAGUGAAAGGCAGGGGCUCAACCCCCGGACUGCUCUGGAAACUGUACGGCUGGAGUGCAGGAGAGGUAAGUGGAAUUCCGAGUGUAGCGGUGAAAUGCGUAGAUAUUAGGAGGAACACCAGUGGCGAAGGCGGCUUACUGGACUGUAACUGACGUUGAGGCUCGAAAGCGUGGGGAGCAAACAGGAUUAGAUACCCUUGUAGUC
This 440-nucleotide ribosomal RNA is filed under the name uncultured bacterium. RNAcentral describes it as "partial 16S ribosomal RNA". It matches the Rfam family "Bacterial small subunit ribosomal RNA", at positions 338 to 795 of the family's 1533-position model. The record is from RNAcentral.